Molecule: small nucleolar RNA, 107 nt
Organism: Lactuca sativa (garden lettuce)
Lineage: Eukaryota; Viridiplantae; Streptophyta; Magnoliopsida; Asterales; Asteraceae
Source: RefSeq, a predicted model, not a curated record
AGAUCAUUUUGGGGACAAUUUCUAAGUAGCCCUUUGUAGGGCUCCCAUGCUUCAUAAAGUGACUCACCCGAUUGUUGCUCAAAAUUAAUUAUUGCCUUCUUAAUUUU